Maniola jurtina (meadow brown) is the source of this 83-nucleotide long non-coding RNA. RefSeq lists it as uncharacterized. Lineage: Eukaryota; Metazoa; Arthropoda; Insecta; Lepidoptera; Nymphalidae. The transcript has 3 exons. The record is from RefSeq and is a predicted model, not a curated record.
UUAAAAUGUAGCUGUCCAACAGAAACAUUACCUAUAGACCUAUAUUCUGAUUUUUAAUUCGGUGUAAUUCUGACGUCAUAAAU